This 508-nucleotide ribosomal RNA is filed under the name uncultured bacterium. Its description in RNAcentral is "bacterial SSU rRNA". It matches the Rfam family "Bacterial small subunit ribosomal RNA", at positions 17 to 518 of the family's 1533-position model. The record is from RNAcentral.
UUAUGGCUCAGGAUGAACGCAGCGACAGGCUUAACACAUGCAAGUCGAGGGGCAGCAUAAAAGUAGCAAUACUUGGUGGCGACCGGCGCACGGGUGAGUAACGCGUAUGCAACCUACCUAUCAGAGGGGAAUAACCCGGCGAAAGUCGGACUAAUACCGCAUAAAACAGGGGCACCGCAUGGUGAUAUUUGUUAAAGAGAUUCGCUGAUAGAUGGGCAUGCGUUCCAUUAGGUAGUUGGUGAGGUAACGGCUCACCAAGCCGACGAUGGAUAGGGGAACUGAGAGGUUGGUCCCCCACACUGGUACUGAGACACGGACCAGACUCCUACGGGAGGCAGCAGUGAGGAAUAUUGGUCAAUGGGCGAGAGCCUGAACCAGCCAAGUCGCCGUGAAGGAAGAAGGAUCUAUGGUUCGUAAACUUCUUUUGCAGGGGAAUAAAGUGCAGGACGUGUCCUGUUUUGUAUGUACCCUGAGAAUAAGGAUCGGCUAACUCCGUGCCAGCCGCGGC